RNAcentral lists this ribosomal RNA (468 nucleotides) under uncultured bacterium. RNAcentral's name for it is "partial 16S ribosomal RNA". It matches the Rfam family "Bacterial small subunit ribosomal RNA", at positions 28 to 507 of the family's 1533-position model. The record is from RNAcentral.
GACGAACGCUGGCGGCGUGCUUAACACAUGCAAGUCGAACGGAAAGGCCCUGCUUUUGUGGGGUGCUCGAGUGGCGAACGGGUGAGUAACACGUGAGUAACCUGUCCUUGACUUUGGGAUAACUUCAGGAGACUGGGGCUAAUACCGGAUAGGAGCUCCUGCUGCAUGGUGGGGGUUGGAAAGUUUCGGCGGUUGGGGAUGGACUCGCGGCUUAUCAGCUUGUUGGUGGGGUAGUGGCUUACCAAGGCUUUGACGGGUAGCCGGCCUGAGAGGGUGACCGGCCACAUUGGGACUGAGAUACGGCCCAGACUCCUACGGGAGGCAGCAGUGGGGAAUAUUGCACAAUGGGCGGAAGCCUGAUGCAGCAACGCCGCGUGCGGGAUGACGGCCUUCGGGUUGUAAACCGCUUUCGCCUGUGACGAAGCGUGAGUGACGGUAAUGGGUAAAGAAGCACCGGCUAACUACGUG